This 78-nucleotide non-coding RNA is filed under the name bovine gut metagenome. Its description in RNAcentral is "S10-Clostridia ribosomal protein leader". It matches the Rfam family "S10-Clostridia ribosomal protein leader". The record is from RNAcentral.
UGAUAGCUAUGAAGCGUGAAGUUGCGGUUUAUCCGGUAUCUCCGUGGAGCGAAUGUCAAGUCAAGAUACUGACGACAA